AUUGAACGCUGGCGGCAGGCCUAACACAUGCAAGUCGAGCGGAUGAAGGGAGCUUGCUCCUGGAUUCAGCGGCGGACGGGUGAGUAAUGCCUAGGAAUCUGCCUGGUAGUGGGGGAUAACGUCCGGAAACGGGCGCUAAUACCGCAUACGUCCUGAGGGAGAAAGUGGGGGAUCUUCGGACCUCACGCUAUUAGAUGAGCCUAGGUCGGAUUAGCUAGUUGGUGGGGUAAAGGCCUACCAAGGCGACGAUCCGUAACUGGUCUGAGCGGAUGAUCAGUCACACUGGAACUGAGACACGGUCCAGACUCCUACGGGAGGCAGCAGUGGGGAAUAUUGGACAAUGGGCGAAAGCCUGAUCCAGCCAUGCCGCGUGUGUGAAGAAGGUCUUCGGAUUGUAAAGCACUUUAAGUUGGGAGGAAGGGCAGUAAGUUAAUACCUUGCUGUUUUGACGUUACCAACAGAAUAAGCACCGGCUAACUUCGUG
Molecule: ribosomal RNA, 484 nt
Filed under: uncultured bacterium
Lineage: Bacteria
Description: partial 16S ribosomal RNA
Rfam family: Bacterial small subunit ribosomal RNA
Source: RNAcentral